Non-coding RNA from Phoenix dactylifera (date palm), 471 nucleotides. NCBI's taxonomy places the organism in Eukaryota, Viridiplantae, Streptophyta, Magnoliopsida, Arecales, Arecaceae. The record is from RefSeq and is a predicted model, not a curated record.
AUAAUCUUCUCGAUUAAGAGAGGGCUCAGCAGGAUUCUCAGAAGCUAUUUUGGAACUCCAUGCCUUUCCUGUGCAUCGCUCAUUCUGCAAGGUUUCACAUGGGUCAUGAAAGAAGGUUCCUCAAAAAUAACACAGUCGGUUGCCCUGCUUUCUGGAAGAGCACCUUCCUUAGAAGCACAAAGAUCCUUUGGAGUCUGGGUUUGUGGGUCAAGGAAGGAUCUGCUGACUGUUUUAUGUCUUAUGGAUGGCACUGUUCCAUCUGCAGCAACAAAUGAACAAUCCAAUACUUUAGUUCAGGGAAACAGGUUGAGGGAUGAAAAUAAGGAAACCAUUACUUGAAGGCGAUAUUGAAUUGAUUACAUUGCUUUGUGGCAAAAAUGACAUGCCGGUAUUCAUGUUAACAAAGGGGAAUCUCUAAAGAACUUGUUACAACAGAGUCAUAAAACAUCAAAUUGAAGGCUUUUUUUCCCA